UUGCACAAUGGGGGGAACCCUGAUGCAGCGACGCCGCGUGGGCGAUGGAGUACUUCGGUCUGUAAAGCCCUAUCAGCAGGGAAGAAAAUGACGGUACCUGACUAAGAAGCCCCGGCUAAAUACGUGCCAGCAGACGCGGUAAUACGUAGGGGGCAAGCGUUAUCCGGAUUUACUGGGUGUAAAGGGAGCGUAGACGGCGAUGCAAGUCUGAAGUGAAAGGCGGGGGCCCAACCCCCGGACUGCUUUGGAAACUGUAUAGCUGGAGUGCAGGAGAGGUAAGUGGAAUUCCUAGUGUAGCGGUGAAAUGCGUAGAUAUUAGGAGGAACACCAGUGGCGAAGGCGGCUUACUGGACUGUAACUGACGUUGAGGCUCGAAAGCGUGGGGAGCAAACAGG
Molecule: ribosomal RNA, 395 nt
Filed under: uncultured bacterium
Lineage: Bacteria
Description: bacterial SSU rRNA
Rfam family: Bacterial small subunit ribosomal RNA
Source: RNAcentral